UUGGCAUCGAAUAUGCUUGACCUGGAGUGAAACAAGUCCAUUAGAAUGAUCAACACCAUUAAAGACGCAAUUAAAAAGAUCCAUUUCAGGUCAGGUCAUCAUUUUCAAACGGAUGAGAUGAUAAAGUAGAUCUCAGAAUAAUACAAGGGGCAUAUGCAAAUCAGCUUUUCAAAUUAUCAUGGUUUUUAUCCCUUAAAUGUAGCUUUUCAGAUCAUCACAUCAUCAAGAAAACACACUAACAUACAUUAUCAACCCAAACCAAGCAUUCACAAUUUACAUAAGAAACCACAAAGAGAAUCUGGAGACAUUGAAUUGCCUCUUGAUCAUCAGAUUUUAAAAAAAAAAAAUCUUGCAUUAACGAUAAUUGAUUAUUG
Molecule: unclassified non-coding RNA, 374 nt
Filed under: Hevea brasiliensis (rubber tree)
Lineage: Eukaryota; Viridiplantae; Streptophyta; Magnoliopsida; Malpighiales; Euphorbiaceae
Source: RNAcentral